UGCCAGCCGCCGCGGUAAUACGGGGGGUGCAAGCGUUGUUCGGAGUUACUGGGCGUAAAGCGCGUGUAGGCGGUCUGUUAAGUCAGGUGUGAAAGCCCAAGGCUUAACCUUGGAAGUGCGCUUGAAACUAACAGACUAGAGUACAGUAGAGGGAAGGGGAAUUCCCGGUGUAGAGGUGAAAUUCGUAGAUAUUCGGAGGAACACCAGUGGCGAAGGCGGCUCACUGGCUCGAUACUGACGCUGAGGUGCGAAAGUGUGGGGAGCAAACAGGAUUAGAUA
This 279-nucleotide ribosomal RNA is filed under the name uncultured bacterium. RNAcentral's name for it is "partial 16S ribosomal RNA". It matches the Rfam family "Bacterial small subunit ribosomal RNA", at positions 506 to 784 of the family's 1533-position model. The record is from RNAcentral.